UUGACUUAGAACAGUUUCUUUGCUUUAUUUAGAAGUUCAAAGGGAAUGACAAGCCAACAUCUAUGCAAACACAACUACUUGAAUUAGAACUAAAAAGGAACUAAAAACCACUGAAACUUACCACUGAGAUCACGGUGGACGACUCUAUGUGAAUGCAGAAAAUCAAGCCCUCGCAGCAGCUGAAACAUCAUGUCCUAGAGGUAAAUAAUCAAGAACCUUAAUGAGAAGAAUGCUGCCGCUCCCAAGAAGUCUGUGAAUAAAUAUCAUGGCAUCUUAAGACUCUUUAACCAAGUCUUUGCUUGGUUCUGCAAUCAAAUUUCAGUCAAAGCUAAAGAAUAGAGAUGAUGGAAUUGUUUCUUCACAAACAACAGGAAGCUCUAGUCCAAGUGUUUCUGCCUUUGGAGAUCAGCCCUGGUUCCUGCAAGAGAGCCUUUUUAAAGAGGUGCCCAUUCUGUUGAGUGACCAUCAUAGGAAUAUUUCCAUGGUGUCUGCUUUUCAUCAUUUCAACAUGAUAUGAAGAUUGUUUUGUUCUUCUGAGAUUUUGCUCAAUCAUACACACACGUACAAAGCGCUUGUGGUGGUUCCACCUUACUCACUGUUAUGUAUUUAAUGGAUACUUCAUUGCUUUUUAUACCAAGCCAUCUUGAGUGUAUUAUAUGGAAAGUCAAGAUCAAAUUAUUUUAAAUACAUCCAUCAAUAAACCAGGAAAAGCUGUCCUUGCCUAAAUUGCAGCAUUAAGAUGAACGUCUACUCCUCAAAUGACAUCUGCCUCUUAUAUUGGACAAGACUGUAACAAAUUGCUCAAUUUCACUAUGAGACAGUAUUUAUUUAGUGAAAUAUUCAAUACAGUAGUCUGGUCUGUGUUUGUGCUCCAUUAAUCUCUCCCAUGCUUUAUCAAUUUCAGCUCUUAUUGUCCUUCAGCUAUUUGUCACUUGCACUACAGAGCCAUCUAAAAAUAUGAACACAGAAGCUACAGGAAAGCCUAAUAGUUUACACCACCAUGUAGCAGAAUAUUCCUAAUACACAAACGUUCUGGAAGAACAUUAAAAACCACAAUUAAUUAAUUAUAGCAUAGCUCAGUGUUCUGCAUUGUAUGGCCCUGAGUGCCAGUAUUUCAGGCAGGGGUCUUAAGCAGACCCUUCUUAGAGAUGUCCUUGAACCUAGGACAUUUUGCAUGCAAAACAUGUGCUCCAUCACUAGGUUACAGUUCCUUCUAUUUUAGAAGCUAACAAUAAAGAAUAUGAUCUGAUUCAGAAUUAAGAACAAGCUACAAACCAUGCCAAGACUCAGGCUGACAAACUCCCUCCUCCUGUCCUUUGCAUGUGAGCACUGGAGACUAGACCCUUCUGAUUGCAGCUUGCAACCAACAACGAUCUUUCA
Molecule: long non-coding RNA, 1380 nt
Organism: Sceloporus undulatus (fence lizard)
Lineage: Eukaryota; Metazoa; Chordata; Lepidosauria; Squamata; Phrynosomatidae
Exons: 4
Source: RefSeq, a predicted model, not a curated record